AACGAACGCUGGCGGCAUGCCUAACACAUGCAAGUCGAACGGGAUCCUGGCUUCGGUCAGGUGAGAGUGGCGGACGGGUGAGUAACGCGUGGGAACCUGCCCAGUGGUGGGGGAUAACUGCGGGAAACUGCAGCUAAUACCGCAUGAGCCCGAGAGGGGAAAGAUUUAUCGCCGUUGGAGGGGCCCGCGUUCGAUUAGGUAGUUGGUGAGGUAACGGCUCACCAAGCCGACGAUCGAUAGCUGGUCUGAGAGGAUGAUCAGCCACACUGGGACUGAGAUACGGCCCAGACUCCUACGGGAGGCAGCAGUGGGGAAUAUUGGACAAUGGGGGCAACCCUGAUCCAGCAAUGCCGCGUGAGUGAUGAAGGCCUCGGUUGUAAGACUCUUUGUCCGGGGACGAUGAUGACGGUACCCGGAC
This 418-nucleotide ribosomal RNA is filed under the name uncultured bacterium. Its description in RNAcentral is "bacterial SSU rRNA". It matches the Rfam family "Bacterial small subunit ribosomal RNA", at positions 29 to 484 of the family's 1533-position model. The record is from RNAcentral.